AAAUGUAGCACAGUGUAAAGAAAGACAGCAACACAGGUAGAGGGACCCAGUGUGUGCUGGGAGGUGACAGUUUCCUGAGGAGAGGGGUGUAUCCAGGCUUACCUCCCAGCAGGAGUGGUACCAUAUGGUGUUUAUGUACUACUCUAUAGAACUCUUGGCUUGCACUUCUACAGCUCUGUACAUUUAUAAGAAUAAAUGCAAUCACACU
This 208-nucleotide non-coding RNA is filed under the name Pan troglodytes (chimpanzee). RNAcentral also lists the same sequence under 1 other name. The record is from RNAcentral. Lineage: Eukaryota; Metazoa; Chordata; Mammalia; Primates; Hominidae.